This 166-nucleotide ribosomal RNA is filed under the name uncultured bacterium. Its description in RNAcentral is "partial 16S ribosomal RNA". It matches the Rfam family "Bacterial small subunit ribosomal RNA", at positions 349 to 507 of the family's 1533-position model. The record is from RNAcentral.
CAGCAGUAGGGAAUCUUCCGCAAUGGGCGAAAGCCUGACGGAGCAACGCCGCGUGAGCGAAGAAGGCCUUCGGGUUGUAAAGCUCAGUCAUCUGGGAAGAGCGAUCUUGGGAGGGAAUGCCCGAGAUGAGACGGUACCAAAAGAGGAAGCCCCGGCUAACUACGUG